RNAcentral lists this ribosomal RNA (324 nucleotides) under uncultured eukaryote. RNAcentral describes it as "partial 18S ribosomal RNA". It matches the Rfam family "Eukaryotic small subunit ribosomal RNA", at positions 1470 to 1796 of the family's 1831-position model. The record is from RNAcentral.
CCCUUAGAUGUCCUGGGCUGCACGCGCGCUACACUGAUGUGUCCAGUAAGCACCUAACCUCUUCCGAAAGGAACGGGUAACCUUUGCAAAGCACAUCGUGAUGGGGAUAGAUUAUUGCAAUUAUUAGUCUUGAACGAGGAAUUCCUAGUAAGCACAAGUCGUCAGCUUGUGUUGAUUACGUCCCUGCCCUUUGUACACACCGCCCGUCGCUCCUACCGAUUGAAUGUUCCGGUGAGCUCUUCGGACUGCGCGGUCUGCAGUUUCUGCGUUCCGUGCGGAAAGUUGCGCAAACCUUAACAUUUAGAGGAAGGAGAAGUCGUAACA